GCCAAUACAUGCAAGUCGAGCGAACGGACGAGAAGCUUGCUUCUCUGAUGUUAGCGGCGGACGGGUGAGUAACACGUGGAUAACCUACCUAUAAGACUGGGAUAACUUCGGGAAACCGGAGCUAAUACCGGAUAAUAUUUUGAACCGCAUGGUUCAAAAGUGAAAGACGGUCUUGCUGUCACUUAUAGAUGGAUCCGCGCUGCAUUAGCUAGUUGGUAAGGUAACGGCUUACCAAGGCAACGAUGCAUAGCCGACCUGAGAGGGUGAUCGGCCACACUGGAACUGAGACACGGUCCAGACUCCUACGGGAGGCAGCAGUAGGGAAUCUUCCGCAAUGGGCGAAAGCCUGACGGAGCAACGCCGCGUGAGUGAUGAAGGUCUUCGGAUCGUAAAACUCUGUUAUUAGGGAAGAACAUAUGUGUAAGUAACUGUGCACAUCUUGACGGUACCUAAUCAGAAAGCCACGGCUAACUACGUGCCAGCAGCCGCGGUAAUACGUAGGUGGCAAGCGUUAUCCGGAAUUAUUGGGCGUAAAGCGCGCGUAGGCGGUUUUUUAAGUCUGAUGUGAAAGCCCACGGCUCAACCGUGGAGGGUCAUUGGAAACUGGAAAACUUGAGUGCAGAAGAGGAAAGUGGAAUUCCAUGUGUAGCGGUGAAAUGCGCAGAGAUAUGGAGGAACACCAGUGGCGAAGGCGACUUUCUGGUCUGUAACUGACGCUGAUGUGCGAGAGCGUGGGGAUCAGACAGGAUUAGAUACCCUGGUAGUCCACGCCGUAAACGAUGAGUGCUAAGUGUUAGGAGGUCUCCGCCCCUUAGUGCUGCAGCUAACGCAUUAAGCACUCCGCCUGGGGAGUACGACCGCAAGGUUGAAACUCAAAGGAAUUGACGGGGACCCGCACAAGCGGUGGAGCAUGUGGUUUAAUUCGAAGCAACGCGAAAGAACCUUACCAAAUCUUGACAUCCUUUGACAACUCUAGAGAUAGAGCCUUCCCCUUCGGGGGACAAAGUGACAGGUGGUGCAUGGUUGUCGUCAGCUCGUGUCGUGAGAUGUUGGGUUAAGUCCCGCAACGAGCGCAACCCUUAAGCUUAGUUGCCAUCAUUAAGUUGGGCACUCUAAGUUGACUGCCGGUGACAAACCGGAGGAAGGUGGGGAUGACGUCAAAUCAUCAUGCCCCUUAUGAUUUGGGCUACACACGUGCUACAAUGGACAAUACAAAGGGCAGCGAAACCGCGAGGUCAAGCAAAUCCCAUAAAGUUGUUCUCAGUUCGGAUUGUAGUCUGCAACUCGACUACAUGAAGCUGGAAUCGCUAGUAAUCGUAGAUCAGCAUGCUACGGUGAAUACGUUCCCGGGUCUUGUACACACCGCCCGUCACACCACGAGAGUUUGUAACACCCGAAGCCGGUGGAGUAACCUUUUAGGAGCUAGCCCUUGAAGG
This 1436-nucleotide ribosomal RNA is filed under the name Staphylococcus aureus. Its description in RNAcentral is "bacterial SSU rRNA". It matches the Rfam family "Bacterial small subunit ribosomal RNA". The record is from RNAcentral. Lineage: Bacteria; Bacillati; Bacillota; Bacilli; Caryophanales; Staphylococcaceae.